GAAUAAGUGCACUGGCUGGGUAAGGCCAGCAUAAAUGUCUAUUCUGCACAAGGUACAGACAAGUCUGGUGGGAUCCAUGCCUGGUUCAUUUUAAUAAAUGUGAGCUUGUCCACGUUGGCCGUGGACAGGCGGCUGCGCUUGUCUGUGAUAACCUCGUGCCGAUCGCACGUCCCCGUGACGGCGACAACGCAUUCGGAUGUCUGCCCUAUCAACUUUCGACGCUAUUUUCCGCUCCUACCAUGGUGACCAUGGGUAACGGGAAAUCAGCGUUCGAUUCCAGAGAGGGAGCCUGAGAAACGGCUACCACAUGUAAGGAAGGCAGCAGGCGCGCAAAUUACCCACGCCAGACGCGGGGAGGUA
This 360-nucleotide ribosomal RNA is filed under the name Pelobates cultripes (western spadefoot toad). It matches the Rfam family "Eukaryotic small subunit ribosomal RNA", at positions 165 to 466 of the family's 1831-position model. Lineage: Eukaryota; Metazoa; Chordata; Amphibia; Anura; Pelobatidae. The record is from RNAcentral.